CUGGGAUAACUCCGGGAAACCGGAGCUAAUACCGGAUAGUUCCUUGAACCGCAUGGUUCAAGGAUGAAAGACGGUUUCGGCUGUCACUUACAGAUGGACCCGCGGCGCAUUAGCUAGUUGGUGGGGUAAUGGCUCACCAAGGCGACGAUGCGUAGCCGACCUGAGAGGGUGAUCGGCCACACUGGGACUGAGACACGGCCCAGACUCCUACGGGAGGCAGCAGUAGGGAAUCUUCCGCAAUGGACGAAAGUCUGACUGAGCAACGCCGCGUGAGUGAUGAAGGUUUUCGGAUCGUAAAGCUCUGUUGUUAGGGAAGAACAAGUGCGAGAGUAACUGCUCGCACCUUGACGGUACCUAACCAGAAAGCCACGGCUAACUACGUGCCAGCAGCCGCGGUAAUACGUAGGUGGCAAGCGUUGUCCGGAAUUAUUGGGCGUAAAGGGCUCGCAGGCGGUUUCUUAAGUCUGAUGUGAAAGCCCCCGGCUCAACCGGUGAGGAUCAUUGGAAACUGGUAAACUUAGAGUGCUCAAGAGGAGAGUGGAA
Molecule: ribosomal RNA, 543 nt
Filed under: Bacillus pumilus
Lineage: Bacteria; Bacillati; Bacillota; Bacilli; Caryophanales; Bacillaceae
Description: bacterial SSU rRNA
Rfam family: Bacterial small subunit ribosomal RNA
Source: RNAcentral